UUUUUGCAGGCGGAAAAUAAA
Caenorhabditis elegans is the source of this 21-nucleotide non-coding RNA. NCBI's taxonomy places the organism in Eukaryota, Metazoa, Nematoda, Chromadorea, Rhabditida, Rhabditidae. The record is from Ensembl.